Molecule: ribosomal RNA, 377 nt
Filed under: Cryptotermes brevis
Lineage: Eukaryota; Metazoa; Arthropoda; Insecta; Blattodea; Kalotermitidae
Description: partial large subunit ribosomal RNA
Source: RNAcentral
UUGUAUUUUGAUUUGAAGUACGGCCUGCCCACUGAUGUUAUUGAAGGGCCGCGGUAUUUUGACCGUGCAAAGGUAGCAUAAUCAUUAGUUUUUUAAUUGUGAACUGGUAUGAAUGGUUUGACGAGGCAUAAUCUGUCUUUAAUUUGAAUUGUUAUUGAAUUUGUUUUUUGGGUAAAAAUGCUCAAAUUUUGUUGUGGGACGAGAAGACCCUAUAGAGUUUUAUAUAGUACACUUAUGAAUGUUUGUUGUGUUGUGUUGAGGUGUAACUAAUAUUUUGUUGGGGUGAUGGGAAGAUAUAUUUAACUCUUCUUUUUUCUUUUCACUUAUUUGUGUUUUUGUGAUCCUUUAUUAUUGAUUAUAAAAUCAAAUUACCUUAG